This 253-nucleotide ribosomal RNA is filed under the name uncultured bacterium. Its description in RNAcentral is "partial 16S ribosomal RNA". It matches the Rfam family "Bacterial small subunit ribosomal RNA", at positions 524 to 776 of the family's 1533-position model. The record is from RNAcentral.
UACGGAGGAUCCAAGCGUUAUCCGGAUUCAUUGGGCUUAAAGGGCGCGUAGGCGGUUCGAUAAGUCCCGUGUGAAAGCCCCCGGCUCAACUGGGGAACUGCACGGGAAACUGACGGACUUGAGUUCGGGAGAGGGAAGCGGAAUUCCGGGUGUAGCGGUGAAAUGCGUAGAUAUCCGGAGGAACACCGGUGGCGAAGGCGGCUUCCUGGACCGACACUGACGCUGAGGCGCGAAAGCUAGGGGAGCAAACGGG